This is a long non-coding RNA of Triticum dicoccoides, 1778 nucleotides long. RefSeq lists it as uncharacterized. The record is from RefSeq and is a predicted model, not a curated record. The transcript has 5 exons. Lineage: Eukaryota; Viridiplantae; Streptophyta; Magnoliopsida; Poales; Poaceae.
CAAGCCGCCGGACGGCCCCCCACCCUGCCGCCGAGGUGCCGGACGGGCGGCGGUGACCGGCGGGUGGCUUCGGCGAGCGUCCGCAUUGGUGCGGCAGGAGUAGCGCGGGCUUCCGGCUCCGAACCGAGACGCGGAUUCGACGGGAGGGCUCUGCGGCAGGGAUGGAGGGAGGGAGGCUUCAGCGAGCGUCCUCGUCAGCAGCGGCAGUGUCCACGCGGUUCCUGCCGGACUCGCGCUCCCGUAGCUGCGGGCUUCCGGCGCCGAGGCUCCGUCCCGCGGACUCGGCGGGAGAGGUCCGUGCGGCGCGGCGACCGUGGCGAACGCCGGUGCUGGUGAAUUCGAACCGGUUCGUUGCGACGGCCGGGAGUCUGCUCGGCGGCGGCUGGUCGCCGGCCCACGUUUGGAUCGGGGGAGCGGAUCGAGCCGCGCCAACACAAGGGGAUCCAUUCCACGCCCACCACAGGAAAUGAGAUGAUUUGGUGUUGGUGGUAACGUGAAGGAGACAAUUUGAGUUGUUGAAGCCUACACAUUCUUUUUAAAACCAACAAGUACUACAGCGAGGUGUGCCAGGCGGUCACCUGUAUGCACAGAAAUUUUGAAGACUUCUGUUGGAACUAAAAAUUGGAGUUGCUACACAAGGUGAAAUUCGGAACCCACCUGCUGGAAACGAGGUGAUCUGGCGUUUUUGGUAACAUACAGGAGUAGGAAUCAUCACAGACUGGCCAGUUGGGGCCUACCCUUAAUAGAAAAUUAACAAGGUGAGCACAAACUGGUCCCGGCUCAUUCGAGAAGAAAUCUGGAGCCUACACAGUACACUCUCAUUCGCCACUGUGUUAACUUGUUGCAAUGUCAGAGUGGUGAUUUUUUUGUUUGUUCAGUUGGAGCAUAUCAAUAGUCACAUGUUCACCUAGAAGAAUACAUUUAUGUUAUGAGGGCCUGAGGGGCAUGAGGAGACAAGGAGCGAAUGAUGAGUUUUGAGGUUCUAAACAUUGUGAUGAGUUUCUAGCUGGAUGGUCAAGGUGGUUUGGUUUGGCCUAUUUACCUCCGGGCCCAGGAAAAUGCAUACCAUCCGGCAUCUUACCUGGCCUGAAGCUCUGGCGAUAUAUUGCUGUCGAAACAUAGUUGCAGAGAAAGAAGGAUAUGGACUCAGUUGGCAAUUAAGAAUUUUUAUUUCUUCGCUUCGUCGGAAGCUUCUCCAAAAUCGAUGCUACUGCUCCUAUUUUAUCAUUCGACUAUCGAAGGUUGACUGACAAACAUGUGGCUCCUGUUGGUUUUCCGAAAAGUAAAAUGAGGCACAUGAAGCUAAGCGGAUCAAACGCCAUGUCCUGGACAAGUUAUGAUCUCUGCUGCUUGAGAACAAUGGUUGUUCGGUGACGGUGGCAGCAAAAGAGAGCUAACAAUGCGAUGAGUGAACUUCUAUUUCCCACGGGUUAGAAAUGCGGGCUUCUGGCACUAAGUCUCUGUCGUGCGAACCGCGGUGACCCUGGCCGAGAGGGAGGGCUCCAUGUGGUGUGGAGACUAGCGGUCAACGCCGGCGCUGAUGAAUUUGAAUCAGUUCGUAGUGACGCCGCCGAGUCUGCUCAGUGGCAGCUAGUCAUCAGCUCAUGAUUGGAUCGGCAGCGCGUAUCGACCACAGAAUUGGGAGAUACUCAUUCCCCACCCAGCACAGGAAACGAAGUAAUCAACAGGGUGAUUAGCUUGGCUGGUUGGAGGGCAAGGAACCCUCGCAGAUUGGCUGGUUUGGAGGGCAAGUUUUCCUUUGAAGUCAAAAAGGUGAG